This is a long non-coding RNA of Stylophora pistillata, 299 nucleotides long. The record is from RefSeq and is a predicted model, not a curated record. Lineage: Eukaryota; Metazoa; Cnidaria; Anthozoa; Scleractinia; Pocilloporidae.
AUAGCGUCAUCCGUAUUUAGUUAUCACGUCCCAGUUGGGUUCUAAUUUUAUCAUUCAAGAUAUGAUUAUGUCUUGUGUUUUUCCAAACUAUGUAUAAAAGUAAAUACCGCUCCAGAUAUUGAAAUCGACUUUGAAAUCGUCUGUUGAAGAACGUUCUGGAUAAAGACGUGUGAAUUGCUUCUCUUGACGCUAAACUGGAAAAGCGUCCUUCGCUUUCAACUCUCGUGUGGGAUUCAGUCUUCUCAUUGCAGUGGAUCUAUCUUCUUUGAAAGAUCUGGUGGACAGAUUGAAGGUAUGUA